UACAAUUCUUCAUUUUCCCCAAACACACCAUGCAAUGCAAAGAUGCUACUUUUUGUCUGCAAUGAUUCUACCUAUUGUUAGUUCACUGCAUCCUCAGAGUCAGUGCACAGGCAGGAGAGACUGAGAUUAUUUAGAUUCUCAUAGUACAGCAUAUAAUGAGGAAGACAGGCUAGGAUGCCAUGGGUGCCACAUUAGUGCCUUCUUUAAGGUUCUGAUAUACAAGCAGCCCUGCCCCAGUUGGUUUGUAUUUAAAAGAAGAUCAUUUAUUAAGGUGCUGAUAUACAAACUCUGUCCCACCCGAGUUGGCUUGUGUUUAAAAGAGGAUCCUGACAAGUCUACCUAAAGAAGAUGAAAGAGAUAUUGGGGGCAGGGGACAAUGGACUAGCUAAUGUGCAGAAAUAAACUUUACAGCUCUAGGCCAGGGCCACCAUAAAACUCUUCCACACUGUGCAGCACACAUUAUGACGGAAACAACAUGCCUUGGCUGGUGGCUUUGCUCCGUGUUCCUCAAGAGAGCUCUGGGUUGCAAACUUGCCUGCUCCCUGGCUGUCUCAUCUUUUACAUGUGAGGACCACAAUUCCUGACCUUUGCAGUGGCUGUAAACUUUGAGACAGGAAGGCAGGAUCUGCAGCUUGCCAGGGGCCUCGGAGGACUCUGGUGGCCCAUGCAGCUCUAUGGGCUUGGAACUUGAGCUCAUUGAGGAUGUCACCUACAGAUAAACAAGUGACACGUCUUGAACACAUUGCAAACAACUUUUAAAGGUCAUCUCAUCCAUGCCUCUGUCUCUUCUUUGGAAGACUUCAAAAUUAUUUCAGAGUGAAAAUGUCUCCUGUUUUCAAAAAUUGCCAAAUAUAAAUUAUAUGAAUGAGUUUGUUUAAACAACUUAGAGGACCAAAAUAAAAAAUUUUCUUAAGUCUAAUCAGUCGUGCUUCAGGAACAUAGGAUGUUUCCUCUUGUUCUGCCUUUUGGAAUGGUGAAGGGUAUUUCACUGACAUCUUGAAUCAUUUAGAGGGACUUAGGAUUCAAUUUAAUACAAUAAAUAUUUACUGAGCUUCUACGUAUCUGAUACUGAAAUGGGGCCGAGAGGGUCACAAAGUUGAUGAUCUGGGCUUCUUUCUCAUCUCAAGAAGCAUAAUUCCCACAUCACUCAUGAUGCAGAGUGUGGUAAAUGCCACAUAGUAAGGCCACAAGGAGAGGGUUUGGAGCCAUUGAUGUUACCUAGAAUCAAAUAAUUCUAUGGUGGAGACAAAGAUACUCAGGAGAGCACCUGCAUCUCAUCUGGACCAAAAGGAAUGGACACAACUGUCUGGAUGAGCUGUGGCACAGGCAUUCUGCCAAGAAGAGGAAGCUGGCAGAAGAGGCCUUGGUAAGUCUGAAUUCUUGCCUCAGUUCUGGUACUGAGUUCUCCCUGCACAUUACAUUCCUACUGUGAACCAUUCACUCCUCCCUUCCUCCAUUAAUUUAUCUAAUUGAUAUCUAUUAAACAAAUGCCUACCAUGUUCUUGACCCUGAGCCACAUGUGAGAGAUUCACCAGGCAACAAGACAGAUGGGAGGAGCCCCACUGCUAUGGUCAAAUGUUUGUGUUUUCCCAAAAUUCGUAUGUUGAAACCUAACUCCCAAAAUGAUGGUGUUAGAAAGUGGGACCACUGGGAGAUGAUUAGGUCAUGAGGGAUUAACAUCAUUAUAGAAGAGACCCCAAAAUGUUAGCUGGUCCUUUCACCACAUGAAGACACAGCUAGAAGACACCACCUAUUAACCAAAAAGUGGGCGUCAGCAGACACCAAAUCUGUUGGCACUUUGUUCAUGGACUCCCUAGGCUCCAGUACUGUCAGAAAUAAAUGUCUGUUGUUUAUAAGCCACCUAGUUUAUGGUAUUUUGUUAUAGCAAGCCAAAUGGACUAAGACACCCCACCCUUGUGAAGGCGACAGAGGACUAGAAAUAAUGAACAAAUCUGCACUGAGCAUAACCCAUGAUGCAUAGUACUGCAGAACAGUGCUGUACAGUGCUCUUCAGGGCCUCACAGGAGGUGCAGAUGGGUGCCGUUGACAACACAGAGAGAAGAGAGAACCUAAACAAUGAAACAAGUCCCCUGCCCACGUGCUGUCAGACACUGGAGAAAAGAACAAAACCAAAGAAAAGCCACUGAGCAAACACAAUGGCCUUGUCUUCUACCUUUCUUGUGGCACAAUGCAGGACUGGACAGCACUGUCCUCCCCAUCCCAUCUCCUUCCCUCCCUCUACUCUCACCCCCCUCCACCAGCCUUCCUGCUCCCAAAGCACGUUACUGACUAGCAGCUUGCCAGUCCAGAUUGUAGUUUUAAUCCACCAACUAGUAUUGCAGCUCAUAGAAUGGCUUUGGAUUUAUGAAACAGGCUGAGGGGAAAUAAAGUACCCUAGUUUGUAGAUAAUAAAAGCUAAGAGUGGUGCAUCCAGGGAGAGAGGUGGGGUGCCAGGGGUUCUUAGGAAGGUAGUGGUACCACCUACUGCCAGAGUCUCUUUUGAAUUGGCUUUAUCCAGGAGUCCCAAAAGCCCUUUAAACUACUUCAUGGUAGCCUUUGACAGAGAACUCUUUGGCAGUGACUUGGAGAGGGUUUAUGAAGACAGUGCUCAGGCUUUGGUCAUGACACAGGCAGAUUGGGGAUGGAGUGGUACAUGUUUGAUUACAGUGUGUGUUGAGGGGCAAGGGGGCAGGUCUUGGUACAAUGACAACUAGCACGAGACCUUGAACUCAACAUGGAUUUUAAAAGUGUUUGUUUAAUGCAUGAAUAAAACAAUGCUCAUGAUAUUUUGUGGUCUUUAGUGACCAAUCAUAGUAGACGUCUUAGAAUUACCAAGCCCUAAGGAAUACUAAAACCCAGUCUAAUAAACUCAGUAAAACCAAGAGUGGACUCUAAUGUAAACUGUGGACUUUUGGAUGUACCUCUCUGGUGGGGAAUGUUGAUAAUGGAGGAGGCUAGGCUUGUGUGGGGGUGGCGAACACAUGGAAAAUCUCUGUAUCUUUUGCUUAUUUUUCUGUGAACCUAAAACUGAUCUAAAAAAAAGUAUAUAAAAAAUUCAUAGCCACAUAAAUUGGCAGUCAGAUCUGGUGAUUCAGCUGAACCUUUAUCUAAGCAUAUAGAAAAGAACACAUAUUUUCUGAUGUUUGAAAAAAUUGCUGUUUUACCUUGAAACUAAUAAAACAAAAUUGGCACAA
This is a long non-coding RNA of Homo sapiens (human), 3194 nucleotides long. RefSeq annotates it as long independently transcribed non-coding RNA 1735. NCBI's taxonomy places the organism in Eukaryota, Metazoa, Chordata, Mammalia, Primates, Hominidae. The record is from RefSeq and is a predicted model, not a curated record. The transcript has 2 exons.